This 497-nucleotide ribosomal RNA is filed under the name uncultured bacterium. RNAcentral describes it as "partial 16S ribosomal RNA". It matches the Rfam family "Bacterial small subunit ribosomal RNA", at positions 28 to 507 of the family's 1533-position model. The record is from RNAcentral.
GAUGAACGCUGGCGGCGUGCCUAAUACAUGCAAGUCGAGCGAACGGACGAGAAGCUUGCUUUUCUGAUGUUAGCGGCGGACGGGUGAGUAACACGUGGAUAACCUACCUAUAAGACUGGGAUAACUUCGGGAAACCGGAGCUAAUAUCGGAUAAUAUUUUGAACCGCAUGAUUCAAAAGUGAAAGACGGUCUUGCUGUCACUUAUAGAUGGAUCCGCGCUGCAUUAGCUAGUUGGUAAGGUAACGGCUUACCAAGGCAACGAUGCAUAGCCGACCUGAGAGGGUGAUCGGCCACACUGGAACUGAGACACGGUCCAGACUCCUACGGGAGGCAGCAGUAGGGAAUCUUCCGCAAUGGGCGAAAGCCUGACGGAGCAACGCCGCGUGAGUGAUGAAGGUCUUCGGAUCGUAAAACUCUGUUAUUAGGGAAGAACAUAUGUGUAAGUAACUGUGCACAUCUUGACGGUACCUAAUCAGAAAGCCACGGCUAACUACGUG